This 364-nucleotide unclassified non-coding RNA is filed under the name uncultured bacterium. RNAcentral describes it as "contains 16S-23S intergenic spacer region". The record is from RNAcentral.
UCCGAGUUAGACCCGGCAGUCUCGCUAGACAUAGUAACUAGCGACGAGGGUUGCGCUCGUUGCGGGACUUAACCCAACACCUCACGGCACGAGCUGACGACAGCCAUGCAGCACCUGUAUACGCUCCCUUGCGGGUCGGUCACCUUUCGGAUCCCUACCACGUAUAUGUCAAGCCCAGGUAAGGUUCUUCGCGUUGCAUCGAAUUGAACCACAUGCUCCACCGCUUGUGCGGGCCCCCGUCAAUUCCUUCGAGUUUCAACCUUGCGGCCGUACUCCCCAGGCGGACGACUUAAUGCGUUAGCUGCGGCACGGAAUGGACUAACCCACCCCACACCUAGUGCCCAUCGUUUACGGCGUGGACUAC